CACCUUCGGGUGUGAAUUAGCGGCGAACGGGUGAGGAACACGUGAGAAAUCUGCCUUCAACACUGGGAUAACUCCGGGAAACCGGGGCUAAUACCGGAUAUGAAAUCUGCGGGCAUCCGCGGAUUUGGAAAGUUUUUCGGUUGAAGAUGAUCUCGCGGCCUAUCAGCUUGUUGGUGAGGUAAUGGCUCACCAAGGCGACGACGGGUAGCCGGCCUGAGAGGGCGACCGGCCACACUGGGACUGAGACACGGCCCAGACUCCUACGGGAGGCAGCAGUGGGGAAUAUUGGGCAAUGGAGGAAACUCUGACCCAGCGACGCCGCGUGCGGGAUGAAGGCCUUCGGGUUGUAAACCGCUUUCAGCAGGGAAGAAGCGAAAGUGACGGUACCUGCAGAAGAAGCACCGGCUAACUAUGUGCCAGCAGCCGCGGUAAUACAUAGGGUGCAAGCGUUGUCCGGAAUUAUUGGGCGUAAAGAGCUCGUAGGUGGUUCGUCACGUCGGAUGUGAAACUCUGGGGCUUAACCCCAGACCUGCAUUCGAUACGGGCGAGCUUGAGUAUGGUAGGGGAGUCUGGAAUUCCUAGUGUAGCGGUGGAAUGCGCAGAUAUCAGGAGGAACACCAAUGGCGAAGGCAGGACUCUGGGCCAUUACUGACACUGAGGAGCGAAAGCGUGGGGAGCGAACAGGAUUAGAUACCCUGGUAGUCCACGCCGUAAACGGUGGGCACUAGUUGUGGGGACCUUCCACGGUCUCUGCGACGCAGCUAACGCAUU
Molecule: ribosomal RNA, 771 nt
Filed under: uncultured Actinomycetes bacterium
Lineage: Bacteria; Bacillati; Actinomycetota; Actinomycetes
Description: bacterial SSU rRNA
Rfam family: Bacterial small subunit ribosomal RNA
Source: RNAcentral